This 1787-nucleotide long non-coding RNA is filed under the name Homo sapiens (human). RNAcentral's name for it is "HSALNT0329199". Lineage: Eukaryota; Metazoa; Chordata; Mammalia; Primates; Hominidae. The record is from RNAcentral.
GCUCAGGAGACCCGCGGCGCCGCUGCCCUUGAGCGGGCCUGCGCCUCCGUGAGGGAAGAGUUGCUGCCAGUGCUGCAGUUUUCUGAACCUGGGAAACGUGCUGUUCAGACUUCAUCCGGGUCUCAUUCAGGAUGCUUCGAUGUUGGUUGGAAGAGAGUUAGACCGAAAAUGUUUUGACUGGCGUCGUUAUGACAAGGUCAUCCGUCAUUGUUGGAUAGAUUGAUAGCACCCAAGUUUAAGGCAGACACCACGAGGGAAAGCCCACGGCGCUGUGGUCCCGGAGGCUAACCAGGCAGUGUCCGCAGACCUCCAGCAACUCCAUCGGGAGGAGAGGAUGAAGUUCCAGGCCCGUUUCAAUUAAUCUGCUCGCAGAACUGCCGAAGAGUGGCUUGUCGGGCCACGGGAGAAGAAACAAAUGCUCUUUCUCACACUCUCCUGGUUCAUUGCUGAGAAACCAGGACACUCCUCUGUUCCCUGGGAGAGACAGUGAACUCCAGGGAUGGAAGUCCGGACUCCGGCGGCGGUCCCGUCAUUUGCCUUCUUGUUUCUGCCCAAACCCAGCUAGUUCCAAGCGCUUGGUCCCCAAGACUGGAAGUCCCCAAGAACCUACCUCUACCUGUCCCAACCCUGCCUCCCCCCUACCCUUUCACCCCCUGCCACCAUUAGAAAGUCUCUGGAUUUUGAAAUGCUAGUUGCAGCAGCUGCUUCCGUGGCCUCAUGCCGCCCACACUCUGGGAAGCGGAGGAGGGAGGGUUCCUCUCGUAAUAAGAUUAGCUGACCUGUUAAUGAGAGUUUUGGACGUGCCGGGCGGGGGUAGGCGCUUUAUGUCCAUUUAAUCCACCUACAUGCGGAGAAGGCAUUAUCAUUAACCCCCAUAUUGUAGAUGGGGACCGCUGAGGUUCGGAAAGUUUAGAUGGGUUGCCUAAGGUCACGCCAUUAAUGAGUAAUGGAGACGGAUUCAAAUACCGUUCGGUAAGGUGCCAAGUGCAUCUUCUGCCUACCCUAGUCCAACCUGUAGCCACUCGGUCCAGACUGACGCCAGAGGGGCUAUCAUGGGAGAGAUUUGGUUCCCCUCGCUGCGGGGUCCAGGGAAGAAGCUGAGAAGGUAGCAAAGUCCCCCUCGCCCACUACGUCUACAGGUGGCGUACCUGGGUAAUCCGAUUCAAGCUUCCGCCACACCCACCCCGGGCACAAGUCGAUCCCGAGGCUUACGGGACCCUAAGGCCCAGAGGCUACAGGAACCUCCCGUGAAGGGGGCAGGAGAAAGUUUGAGGGAGAGCCCUGAAGGUCCGGGAGCGAACGAAAAAGUCUGGAAGGGAAUAGACCAGGAGUCAGGACCUCCCCUGCACCUCCCCAGCAGGCCCACUGCGCCGAGCGGGGCCCCUGCCUCCACCGCGGCUUCCGGGAUGCCCGCAGAGCUCGGCAUCCUCACCCGGUGCGCACAAGGGCGCGCAGCGGCGUAAGCUGGACCCCCGACGCUGCGCGCGCUCUGAGGGGCGCUUCCCCCUCACACAGUUGACCCUGGGCCCGCUUGGUCACGGCCACCCUGGCGCAUCUCAAUAGUUUUUAGAAAGUGAGCCCACCGACGGCAAGGACAUGCACCCCCUCAAAUCCGCUUCCCCCACCCCCUUCAAUACUGAGAAGACCACGGAAACAAAUCACUUCGACCACUUAGAAAGCGAUCAAACCUUUAUAAAAAUCCAUCGCUCCCAAAUCGAUGGGUGAAUAUUUGCUGGGAAUUUGUUCCAGAGGAAUAAAUGAGGAGCCUUGAGUGUAUUAAAUGCAAA